Molecule: transfer RNA, 72 nt
Filed under: Xyrichtys novacula (pearly razorfish)
Lineage: Eukaryota; Metazoa; Chordata; Actinopteri; Labriformes; Labridae
Description: tRNA.Phe
Source: RNAcentral
GUCCAAGUGGCUCAGGGAUAAGAACACUGACUGAAACUCUUGAGGUCAUAGGUUCGAGUCCUACCUUGCCCA